GAUACCUAAACUGCCAAUCAGAACUGAGACACAUAUGGUAGUGGAUUGAAGGACUUUGAUUACUUGUUUCCAGCCCAUGGAGAAUGCAUGAAACAAGUGAAGUACUAAACAUUAGGUGGUUGUGUAAAUUUGUUGACAAAGACCAGAUUAAAGUGAGGUUCUCUGAAUGUACCUUGAAGAUGUCAGCUGCUUUCCAGUGUUUCUGCUUUCCAGUAGUGCCAGUGGUCUCUGAGAACAUGAUGUGAAAACCAGUCCAAAAUACAACAAUGCCUCAUGGCAAUGGCAACUCAGUCAGAGAGCUGGACCCUGUACAAAUGUCCUGCUGGAUGGAUAAACCCUGAAAGAACAGUCUGCCAGAAAAACAACAGUCAAAACAGGUUUGUCAUAAAGGAGGAGACGUCUUUCUGGUUUAGAUCUUAGUUAUGUGAGAAGACACCUUUUCUCCCCUGUGCAAUCUGCAGCUGUCGAGGUAGCCUGCUAAGGGAGCCAUCACUGACUUGAACCGUCUUGAAACCAUCUGAUCAUGCACCUGAUCCUCACCUAUGCAAGUGGCUUCUUCUGAUGGUUGGGUUUAUUCCACAUCACAUCAGAGUGCCUGAGAGCUACGGGCUGUGCUCAGAUUCUGAUGGCACCAAUGGUGCUGCUGUGUGCACAUGCUCCCCAAUAGAGAAAUGGGAGUGGAUGUGGAUUAUACUGCCUCGACUCAGGGCACAGCCAAAGGAUGCAGCCUCAGUUGAGCAGAAGGAUGAACAAACUGUCGAGCUGGUUCGUGACAAUUUUUGUUACUGCUCUCUGCAGCUCCCAGUGAACAUGAAGAGCAGCUAAUGCAGGGAAUCAGGCUACAGAGGCCUGACCUGGUAAAUGGAGGUUACUCUGAAAACUGUACUUAAUAACUGCUACUGUUAUUCACCCUACUCUAUACUGAACCAGCGAGACAUGUUGGAAACAUCACCAGAGUCAAGAGUCAAUUCCAGAAGUAUUUGAGACCCUUGGCCUGAGUCUGCCACUGCAUUUUAUGGAGAAGAAUGGUGAGCAUGUGUACUUGUCAGCAUUCAAAGCAGCUGGCAAUACAGCCUGCAUUGAAUCUCUGCAGCUCUGAGGAGGCAGCAUGCAGCUGGGGAAGAGCUGAGCAGGAGCUGCAGAGCUGGAACAGAUGUGGAAAGGCAUUGGAGCUGGAGCUGAGCCACUUGCAGUUAUGCAUGGAAAAAUCCAUAAGAACUUCGCAUGAGGCCACAGACAAAGAGUGGUUGUGGUGUCUGGAAGUGAAAUGAGGCAUUAAAAUAAAAAAGCCCAGAUUAAAGAAAUCAUGGGGAGUAAUUUUACUGUUUCAGGGUUUUUCUUAGGGCUGAAUAGUGAGGGACAGAGUUUGAAUGUAAAGAAGCACCAGGAACUGUUGCCAUGUUAUUGUGAAAGUCCCACACCUUCUCGGUAAUUUCUCAUGGUCACCUCCUCACAGCGCUGACUCCUUCCUCUUCUCAGUACAGACAACAAACUUCAGCCCUCUUACAGCACAACCAACAAACUCCAACUCUCCUCUCACCCCACUCCUUGUAGCACUCAUCUCCUUAUUGGACACAACUAUGGCCUAUUAAGGGCAGGCCUGCUCCUAAUCUUUGGUGAUUAGUACAGCUGCAACUCCUCAGGUGUGAGAUUACCUUCUGCGCUAUUCUCUUACAUUCUAUCCCUCCACAAGAAACAAUAGCUGGAAGUACCAACUACAGAAGACAGAGAGACAGGUUCUCCUACAUCUUAGUCAAGUGCAAAACCCCACAGGGAAAUGCAGGAUUCUUUUCAGGUUUGAAUGCAUUCCUUUAAAAUGUGGCAUAUCCAAUUCCACCACAUAUUUGUGUUGUUGUACCAAAGAUAAAGGCUGCUUUCACAUAAAUUCUUUUAUGCUGAACAGCUAAACUAUCAAAAGGCUGGUACCUUCUUCAAGAGCUUACAGCCAUGAGGUACAACAAUAGACCUCAAAAAAUAAGGAGAAAACAACAGAGGAAAGUGCUGCUAUUAUAGUACAAGAGUUUUAUUGCACAUUGCGAGGGCUCCAUAUUGCUAGAUUUUCAUACCUCCUUGAUGGAGCUUUCUUGUAGGCAGCUCCUCCAGGCACUGACUCUUCCUUGUCCUCACAGCAGCCAACUAACUCCAGCUCCUACCAAUCCACUCUUUUAUAACACUCUUCUUAUUGGCUACAGGUGUGGCCUGUUAACAUCAGGCCAGCUCCUAAUCUUUAGUAAUUGGUUCAGCUGCAACUCCUUAGGGGUAAGAUUACUUUCUAUACUACCUUUAUUUACUUAUGUUCUAUCCCCCUACAGGAAAGGGAAGGUUUUCAAAUAGAUCACAAAGGAAAUCUUUAGGGUUCCAUCAGGAUGACAUUUUCAUCAUUCAUGGAGUAAUGGCUAUAAAAUGAAAGAGGAGAGACAUAGGUUAGAUAUUAGGAAGGAAUUUGUUAUUGUCAUGAUGGGGAGGCACUGCAACAAGUUGCCUAAAAAAAUUGUGGAUAUCCCAUCCCAGGAAAUGUUCAAGAAUAGGUUGUGGUUCAAGACCCAGUGUGCUGUUUAGUGUCUGCUUAUCUUUCAAAUAUGCAAACCUUGCUCUGCUUCACUUCAUGUGAAAAUUUAAAAGUUGUAGGAUCUUCAUCACAAAAUUCAGUAGGUUUUGAAGUAAGCAAAAAAUAUUACACAUUGUGAUUGGAGUACAACGGUCAAUAUGUCCUGGAGCUCAAAAUAUAGUUUAGAUUAAGGUAACACUUUGUGAAAUUUUAUAGUGACCCAGAUCUGAACUAUGCUUUUCUGUUCAAAUACUGAAAUUGGUUACACCUACCUCUUUUAUACAGACUGUCUGCAAUGGUAAAGAGGCUGUUGACACUUCCAGAUGAAUUUUGCUUUGAAUUUUUGAAUUUGUCUGAACUUGAAUUUCAAAGCAAAACUCAGAGUGUGUGAGAUCAAAUAAAUGAAAACCCAAAAGUCUGCAUGAAUUCCUGUAAGAUGAAAUAACGGAGUCCUUGCCAGAUUUGCUUACUAUCUAAAAAUAGUUCAAUCUCAUCUAUUCAGAAUCUCCUGUGAUAGCAGAAGGAGUAAUAUAAAGACCAAGAGACAUGUGAGAAGCUAAGUCAGAGGCUUGAAAGGAAGGCAAGGAAAAAGAGACUCUGUAACUGUGAUGUGAACUUUGUCCCUCUUUGAAAUGGCAUUUAAGUGUAGUGACUGUGGUACUUACUGUAAAUGGAUUGUCACGCACCCUCCUAAAGCUGUGUGUGUGCCCCCUCUGAGUGAUUGAGGUGGAUGUGCUAUCCAGGUAACAGACUAGAGUUUUUUUCUUUUUUUUUUAAAGAACAAAAAUUAUUAUGUAAAUAUGGUGGAACAAAAGCAACAAAAAAGAGAAGGAG
Melospiza melodia melodia is the source of this 3382-nucleotide long non-coding RNA. RefSeq lists it as uncharacterized. The transcript has 5 exons. The record is from RefSeq and is a predicted model, not a curated record. NCBI's taxonomy places the organism in Eukaryota, Metazoa, Chordata, Aves, Passeriformes, Passerellidae.